Molecule: ribosomal RNA, 102 nt
Filed under: Podargus strigoides (tawny frogmouth)
Lineage: Eukaryota; Metazoa; Chordata; Aves; Caprimulgiformes; Podargidae
Description: 12S ribosomal RNA
Source: RNAcentral
GCUCUUACACUCUCCCCCCCCAAUAAUUAAUCUUUCCUCCCCGGACAAAGAUGAGGUAAGUCGUAACAAGGUAAGUGUACCGGAAGGUGCGCUUAGCAUAUC